AUGGUAAUAUUGCACCCUUGGGAAUUGGUUACUUACUUAUCGGGACAACAAUGAGUUGUCGGUAUUGCGGGCUACAUACCGUAGUAUCAAUAACUUAUUCGUUGGGUUCAUUAAGUUAGUAUACAAUUACGCCGUCUACGUUAGUAUUUUCAUCUAUUUGUUUAUAUAGUUAUAUAUUUAUUUAUUUAUUUUUAGGCGUGACCCAAAGAUACUACACCCUUAUUUUCGGAGUACGUGACGCUACGAGUGCGUAGGUGAAAUUUUUCUGUGUUUAAUUUGGAUUUCAAUAUAACUAUUUUAAAAUUUUCAUGAUAUUAUAUAUGUAUUUUUUACGAUGCGUUAUUAUGUAUAUAUUUGUGACCUUAUGCUUUUUUAAAGGUAUUACAUUAUAGUAUGGUGUUGAAGGAGAAGGAAAGUAUGAGUUUGGGGGGCAUGAAAGAGGAAUCACUGCACUCCAAUCGCAACGGAAUGGCAUUCUCUUUUAUGCAACCACUCUAGCUUGAUUUCUUCCUUAUAUAUACUUUCUUCCUACCUAUAUGGAGUAUAUUAUGUAUAGCAAAUGAUUUCAAAUUUUAGGGACAAAAUUUUUUUAAGGUGGGUAGAUUGUGACAACCCGUCCCUAAUAUUACGAUCUUAUUAAUUUUAAAUGAGUGAAUUGAUGAUAAUGUCCCUGGAGGCGAGGUUGUUGACUUUCAUUGACCAUCUGUUCAUGAUGUGUAUAAGCUACUACUUUAGCAUAUUCUCGAAGUACUCGACGAUACAAACGCAUAGGCGCAAGCUGAAGGGAAAUCUAUGAGAUUCAUGUAUGAGAUUUCUAAAUGACUAUCAUGCAUAUCCAAAACAAUUUUGAUAUACGAAAGCAGUGGAAGCAUUUAUAACAUAUUAUCAAAGCUAUAGUCAUGCAAAUCCCCUUCAAGGUUCAUAGGUUUAUAUAUA
RNAcentral lists this long non-coding RNA (936 nucleotides) under Malus domestica (apple). Its description in RNAcentral is "long non-coding RNA (MDOM_LNC013088)". Lineage: Eukaryota; Viridiplantae; Streptophyta; Magnoliopsida; Rosales; Rosaceae. The record is from RNAcentral.